RNAcentral lists this ribosomal RNA (244 nucleotides) under uncultured bacterium. Its description in RNAcentral is "partial 16S ribosomal RNA". It matches the Rfam family "Bacterial small subunit ribosomal RNA", at positions 96 to 334 of the family's 1533-position model. The record is from RNAcentral.
CGGCGAACGGGUGAGUAACACGUGGGUAAUCAACCCUCGAUACUGGGAUAGCCCGGGGAAACUCGGAUUAAUACCGGAUGGCCCUUCGGAUCUUCGGAUCUGACGGAAAAGGUAGCUUCGGCCUCCGAUCGAGGACGAGCCCGCGGCGGAUUAGCUUGUUGGUGGGGUAAUGGCCUACCAAGGCGACGAUCCGUAGCUGGUCUGAGAGGACGAUCAGCCACACUGGGACUGAGACACGGCCCAG